UAGGUAAUCUUCGGCAAUGGGGGGAACCCUGACCGAGCAACGCCGCGUGAGUGAAGAAGGUUUUCGGAGCGUAAAGCUCUGUUGUUAAGGAAGAACGAGUGUGAGAAUGGAAAGUUAAUGAUGUGACGGUACUUAACCAGAAAGGGACGGCUAACUACGUGCCAGCAGCCGCGGUAAUACUUAGGUCUCGAGCGUGGUCCGGAUUUAUUGGGCGUAAAUCGAGUGCAGGCGGUUAGAAAAGUCUGAAGUAAAAGGCAGUGGCUCAACCAUUGUAGGCUCUUGAAACUGCUUAACUUGAGAGCAGAAGGGGAGAGUGGAAAUCCAUGUGUAGCGGUGAAAUGCGUAAAUAUAUGGUGGAACACCGGUGGCGAAAGCGGCUCGCUGGUCUGUGAAUGACGCUGAGGCUCGAAAGCGUGGGGAGCGAACAGG
RNAcentral lists this ribosomal RNA (429 nucleotides) under Verrucomicrobiota bacterium. Its description in RNAcentral is "Verrucomicrobia bacterium partial 16S ribosomal RNA". It matches the Rfam family "Bacterial small subunit ribosomal RNA", at positions 355 to 776 of the family's 1533-position model. Lineage: Bacteria; Pseudomonadati; Verrucomicrobiota. The record is from RNAcentral.